Molecule: non-coding RNA, 74 nt
Organism: Tetraodon nigroviridis (spotted green pufferfish)
Lineage: Eukaryota; Metazoa; Chordata; Actinopteri; Tetraodontiformes; Tetraodontidae
Source: Rfam
GGCACUGUGGCUUAGUUGGUCAAAGUGCCUGUCUAGUAAACAGGAGGUCCUGGGUUCAAAUCCCAGCAGUGCCU